AUUGAACGCUGGCGGCAUGCUUUACACAUGCAAGUCGAACGGCAGCACAGGGAGCUUGCUCCCGGGUGGCGAGUGGCGCACGGGUGAGUAAUACAUCGGAACGUGUCCUGUUGUGGGGGAUAACUGCUCGAAAGGGUGGCUAAUACCGCAUGAGACCUGAGGGUGAAAGCGGGGGAUCGCAAGACCUCGCGCAAUUGGAGCGGCCGAUGCCCGAUUAGCUAGUUGGUGAGGUAAAGGCUCACCAAGGCGACGAUCGGUAGCUGGUCUGAGAGGACGACCAGCCACACUGGGACUGAGACACGGCCCAGACUCCUACGGGAGGCAGCAGUGGGGAAUUUUGGACAAUGGGGGCAACCCUGAUCCAGCCAUGCCGCGUGCAGGAUGAAGGCCUUCGGGUUGUAAACUGCUUUUGUCAGGGACGAAAAGGACCGUGUUAAUACCAUGGUCUGCUGACGGUACCUGAAGAAUAAGCACCGGCUAACUACGUGCCAGCAGCCGCGGUAAUACGUAGGGUGCAAGCGUUAAUCGGAAUUACUGGGCGUAAAGCGUGCGCAGGCGGUUCUGUAAGACAGAUGUGAAAUCCCCGGGCUCAACCUGGGAAUUGCAUUUGUGACUGCAGGACUAGAGUUCAUCAGAGGGGGGUGGAAUUCCAAGUGUAGCAGUGAAAUGCGUAGAUAUUUGGAAGAACACCAAUGGCGAAGGCAGCCCCCUGGGAUGCGACUGACGCUCAUGCACGAAAGCGUGGGGAGNCAACAGG
RNAcentral lists this ribosomal RNA (757 nucleotides) under uncultured bacterium. RNAcentral describes it as "bacterial SSU rRNA". It matches the Rfam family "Bacterial small subunit ribosomal RNA", at positions 28 to 776 of the family's 1533-position model. The record is from RNAcentral.